UGUAUAUAUAUAUGUACGUACAAACACUUAUAUAUAUAUAUAUAUAUAUAUAUAUAUAUAUACAUACGUACAUGUAUACAUAAAUAUAUAUUUUUAGAGACCUAUGUUUUAAGGCGUAAUGAUUUUGAAAAAUGUUAAGAAGAUUUUCAUACUGGGAGAAAGCAUAAACACGAACACAUUUGGAAUAAAUUCUCUUUUUGGAAUCCAAGCAAGAUGUAUGAAAAACAAAAGAAGAGGGUUGAAAGAACAGGCAAGAAAAAAACCAUUAGAUAUUGAAAAAAAGAUAAGGAAUCCAUAUAAUUAUGAAAAAAAAAUGCAUUUUGAUAAUUUAACAAAAGGAGAAUUAUAUGUACCUGAAUCAUGUAAAGGUAAAAAGUUAGCUAUGUUAUGUAACCGAUUAUAUUAUUUUAAUAUAAAUGAUGACGAACUAUUAGAUAGAUAUGCUCAAAGAGCUAUAGUUAUUGCUAACACUAUGGGUACUAAAGAAAUGUCACUAAUACUAAAUACUAUGCGAAAAUUUAACUAUAAAAAUAUAAAAUUAUUAGAAACAUUUUCAAAAUAUAUUCCUAGCAAAUUGCAUAAAUCAGUUCCCCAGGAUAUAUCAUUAAUUUUAAAUGCUUAUGCUCAUUUUUAUUAUGUAGAUAAAAAUUUAUUUACUAGAAUUUGUGAAGAGAUACCACAUAAAAUACCAUACUUUCAAGCUAGUCAUAUAUCAAGUGUUAUUAACGCAUUUUAUAGAUUAAAAAUUAAAGAUCAAAUUAUAAUCAAUGAUCUGGUUGAUGAAAUAAUAGACAGAGUUGAAGAAUUUGAUAACAAGUCAUUAACAAAUACUAUUAAUAGUUUAGUUAAUUUAAAUUAUAAUAAUAUGAAUAAACAAAUUAUAUGGAAUAAAUUAAUCGAAGCUGUUAAACAAUUGCAUGAUCAGUUAAGUCUUUUGGAACUUACUUUAAUAACUAAUGCUUUUUGCAAAAAAAAAUUAAAAAACAAAAAUGUGUAUAUAUGUUUGAAUGAUAUUUUGUGUGAUCGUAUAUUUGUAAGGGGAGCUUUAUCGGUCGGUGAUGGUGUUAGUGCUAUUGGCGACAACAGCAAUAAAAACGGGAAUGAACAUAGCAGUAGCAUUAGUAGCAGUAGCUGUAGCAACGAAAACAGCAAAAGUGAUAACGCAUAUCUUUUGUGCAUAAUUUUCAACGCUUUUGCGAAAAUUAAGUUCUAUUCUAAAGACUUAGUCGAUUUUAUAGUGGCUUAUUUUUCAAAAGAAGAAAAUUAUCACAGUUUAAACACUCAACAUUAUAGUCAAUUAAUUUAUUCUUUUUCUACUUUUAAAUUACAAAAUGAUAAUUUUAUUAAUAUAUUUCUUAAAAUGGCUUCUGAAAGAAUUAAAAAACAAAAAGACAUCAAUGAACAAACAUUAUCAACAAUUGCUUAUUCUUUAGCAAAAUUAAAAACUAGACAAACUGAUUUUUUAAUUUUUUUAUCAUCUUAUAUUAUUAAUAAUAAAAUUAUUUUAUCACCACAAAGUUUAUGUUUAAUUUGUUAUAGCUAUUCCAAAUUAAAAAUAAAAUCCGAAAUAUUUUUUUAUAUUUUAUCUAUACAACUUUUUGAAAACAUGAAUAAAUUCACAAAACAAGGACUAUCUAUUUUAUUAAGUUCCUAUGCAAAUUUAAAAAUAUUUAAUGUUAAACUAUUUUCUUUAAUUAAUAAAUAUUUAAAUUUAUAUUCUGAUACAUUUACCAAUAUGGAAUGUAUCUUAAUUUGUAAGCAUUUUGAAUAUGCAAUAAAAUGUAUAGACACAGAAAUAAACAAGAAAAACAAUAAUAUACCUGUAGUUACUACUAUAACUGCUCCUAUUGUUUCUAACGACAAGAGUAAAACACUAGUUGCUGAAAUUAAUAAUACAAAAGAAAAUAUGGAAAAAUUUGUGUGUGUUUUAAAAAACAAAAUAAAUAAAUUUGAUAAUGUUAAAAAUUCAACUAAACAAAGUAAAGUCAAUUCAAGUGUGGAUAACAAAGAGAUCGUAAUAAAAGACAAUGACUAUAAUCAACUUGAUGAAAAAGAAGGUAAUGACGAAAGAGAAGCACAAGAUGAUUCUUUCUUUUCAAUAUUUGAACAAAAUGAUAUUCUUAAAGAUGAUGAAAGUGGUGAUGAACAUGAGGAAAAAUAUAGUGAUAGACAAAUGUACGAUAUGUAUGUAUCUGUCCACAAUAACACCGACAAUAAUGAUAGUAUUAAAAAACGAGAUAGCCAUUUGGUAAAUCCAUAUAAUGAACAAACAAAUACAUCAAAAAACAUGGAUAAAAAUAACAUUAAAGAAAAAAAAGACACUUUAAAAAUCUAUGAAAGUAUGUUUUUAGUUGAUACAAAAAAAAAAAAUAAUAUCCCUGGUAUAAAACACGAUUCUUUAAUUAAUGAAAAAUUUUGUUCGAUCUUAAAUAAAGAGCAUGAAAAAAUGGAACGAAAAAAAUAUGUGUCACAAACAGGACAUAUGUCAAACAGAACAAUGGAAAAAGAAAGUAAUGAUAAUUUAAAAAAAAAAAGUUUAUUCAAAUUAAUGACUUCAAGUAAACCAUUAAAAACAAAUUAUGGCGAAAAAAAUUAUGGCGAAAAAAAUUAUGGCGAAACAAAUUAUGACGAAACAAAUUAUGGCGAAACAAAUUAUGGCGAAACAAAUUAUGACGAAACAAAUUAUGGCGAAACAAAUUAUGGCGAAACAAAUUAUGACGAAAAAAAUUAUGGCAAAACAAAUUAUGGCAAAAAAAAAUAUGGCGAAACAAAUUAUGACGAAACAAAUUAUGGAGAAAAAAAUUAUGGCGAAACAAAUUAUGGCGAAAAAAAUUAUGGCGAAAAAAAUUAUGGCGAAACAAAUUAUGGCGAAAAAAAUUAUGGCGAAACAAAUUAUGGCGAAACAAAUUAUGACGAAACAAAUUAUGACGAAACAAAUUAUGACGAAACAAAUUUAAUAAAAUCGGCGGAACAGACUGAAACUGAAUUUAUAAAAGCUUACGUAAGUGAACAAACAAAAGCUAGCGAACAAAAUGAACCAACUGGAAGAAAAUUAAAAAGAAGAAAAAAAAAAAUUCAGCAAAUUUUGUCCAAAAAGUAUGAACUGAUAGACGACAUUACAGCUUUAAAGAAAAAAUGGGAUAAAUUUUACAAACAUAGGGUAGUCUAAUUUUUGUACGUGUGGUAAUGUACUUGUGUAAACAUAAAUAUACGCAAUACAUAUUUACUACAAUAUUGAGGAUUAAAAGGUGAUAAAAAUUUUAACUUUGAUUUAUUUUUUUUUUUGUUACAGCAUCGUUUUUUCAUAAAAUAUAUGUUUUGUAUAUAUCCAAUUACUGCUUAGCUCGUCUGUUUUUUUUUUUUUGAUUUUUUUUUAAAGCUUAUAUGUUAUUGCAAAGCUUUUUACAAUAAAAAAAGAGAAAAAUUUGGAUAAAUACGAUGG
RNAcentral lists this long non-coding RNA (3442 nucleotides) under Piliocolobus tephrosceles (Ugandan red Colobus). RNAcentral describes it as "lncRNA (ENSPTEG00000004865.1)". Lineage: Eukaryota; Metazoa; Chordata; Mammalia; Primates; Cercopithecidae. The record is from RNAcentral.